UAGGUUUGUUAUAAGUCAAAGCUCUUCAAGUUUGACCAAAUUUAUAAAAAAUAUAGCAAAAUUUUCAACAUAAAAAAUAAAUAUACUAUAAAACAUACUCAAUGGUGGGUUUGAUGAAACUAAUUUGGUAUUGUGGAUAUUACUAUUGUUUUAUAAACUUGGUCAAACUUAAAAGAGGUUUGACUUAGGACAGACCCAA
Molecule: microRNA precursor, 199 nt
Filed under: Oryza brachyantha (malo sina)
Lineage: Eukaryota; Viridiplantae; Streptophyta; Magnoliopsida; Poales; Poaceae
Description: MIR1435 microRNA precursor family
Rfam family: MIR1435 microRNA precursor family
Source: Rfam by way of RNAcentral